CUACGGGCUGCUGCAGUCGAGAAUCUUCGGCAAUGGGGGAAACCCUGACCGAGCGACGCCGCGUGCGGGAUGAAGGCCUUCGGGUUGUAAACCGCUGUCGUAGAGGAGGAAAUGCAGGGGGGUUCUCCCCUCUGUUUGACCUAGUCUAGGAGGAAGGACGGGCUAAGUUCGUGCCAGCAGCCGCGGUAAGACGAGCCGUCCAAACGUUACUCGGAAUUACUGGGCUUAAAGGGUGCGUAGGCUGCGCAGAAAGUUGGGUGUGAAAUCCCUCGGCUCAACCGGGGAAUUGCAUCCAAAACUACUGUGCUCGAGGGAGACAGAGGUAAGCGGAACUCAAGGUGGAGCGGUGAAAUGCGUUGAUAUCUUGAGGAACACCGGUGGCGAAAGCGGCUUACUGGGUCUCUUCUGACACUGAGGCACGAAAGCUAAGGUAGCAAACGGGAUUAGAUACCCUGGUAGUC
This 461-nucleotide ribosomal RNA is filed under the name uncultured bacterium. Its description in RNAcentral is "partial 16S ribosomal RNA". It matches the Rfam family "Bacterial small subunit ribosomal RNA", at positions 339 to 795 of the family's 1533-position model. The record is from RNAcentral.